This 105-nucleotide non-coding RNA is filed under the name Clostridium tepidiprofundi. RNAcentral describes it as "Glycine sequence". It matches the Rfam family "Glycine riboswitch aptamer". From Rfam's summary of the family: This family represents the bacterial glycine riboswitch. The record is from RNAcentral. RNAcentral also lists the same sequence under 1 other name. Lineage: Bacteria; Bacillati; Bacillota; Clostridia; Eubacteriales; Clostridiaceae.
UGACACACCCCUGGAGAGACUCAUUAAAUUGAGCAUCGAAGAAGAAACUCAGUAGGGAUAUAAUCCUCUGAGGAAACUUUCAGAUAAAAGGACAGGGAGCAAAUA